Molecule: long non-coding RNA, 1013 nt
Organism: Alexandromys fortis (reed vole)
Lineage: Eukaryota; Metazoa; Chordata; Mammalia; Rodentia; Cricetidae
Exons: 3
Source: RefSeq, a predicted model, not a curated record
CUCCUCCCCCCAUUCAUGUAGCUGUUUAGCAUCCUCUCUCCGCAAGGCCUGCCUGAGACGGUGCUGAGAGGAACCUCCCAACUGGUCGCCUCUGCGUUAAAAAACCCUGUUAAUAGCCGAGCGGUGGUGCACACGGGAGGCAAAGACAGAAGCAUCUCUGAGCUCCACGCCAGCCAGACAGGAUUUCUCUGUGAAACAGUCCCGGCUGUCCUGGAAUUCACUUUGUAGUUGAGGAUGACCUUGAACUUCUAGUUUUUCUCCUACCUCCCAAACGUUGCCAUUACAGGCACAGCUGUCUGGCCUGGCACCCUAGGAUCCAAAAGCCUCAAGAUGCUGGUGUAGCCAUCUGGGACUUGGGACUCAGGAGACCGAUAAUUAACCCCUUCAGGACUGCAAUGGUGAUCAAAUCCACAUCCUCAUAUGGAACAAUGCUCCCAGCUUUGAGAGGAACCACAGGGCUGGCACUCCGGUUCUCUUCAUUGUGGACGGAACCCUGCCGUAUCCUUCCCCUGGUGUGUCCAGGUGUACCCAGAAUCCUCACCUGCCAGGGACCUCAGUGACUUGUCCUUCACCUACCACUACACCUGACCAAGAGUAUGGUGAAGAGGGUCCCUCCUCAGUCCACAGGAAGUUCUGAACUCCAGUUCCCAGGACUACUUCCUGCCUCUGAGCCUGUGCCAGGCUGGAGCCCAGCCUAGGGAAGCAGCUGUAAACUCUCCCAGACAUACUGCAGAGGUCUGGCGGGGCUAACCCUUCCUUUGGGCCUCUUUCUCUGUGAAGAGACUUCAGAGUCCUCGCUGAAGACUUUGAUGAGGACUACUCUUGAGUAUUGUAGCAAACACAGGGACAAAGCUCAUCCUUCCACUUACACAGGGGACUGAAUUCAUGGCUGGGUGCUGACGCCCAGUCAGAGCCUGGCUCGGGGCCUGCUCCAGGAUGCCAAGCAGACAGCAUUCUGAACAUCCCUGACCUCACUCCACAACUUCUGGGAAAUGGCACAAAUACAUACACUU